This 245-nucleotide ribosomal RNA is filed under the name uncultured bacterium. Its description in RNAcentral is "partial 16S ribosomal RNA". It matches the Rfam family "Bacterial small subunit ribosomal RNA", at positions 524 to 768 of the family's 1533-position model. The record is from RNAcentral.
GACGAACCGUGCGAACGUUGUUCGGAUUCACUGGGCUUAAAGGGCGCGUAGGCGGCUUGCCAAGUCAGGGGUGAAAUCUUUCGGCUCAACCGGAAAAUUGCUUUUGAUACUGGCAGGCUGGAGGGAGGUAGGGGCAGAUGGAACUUCCGGUGGAGCGGUGAAAUGCGUAGAUAUCGGAAGGAACGCCGGUGGCGAAAGCGAUCUGCUGGACCUUCACUGACGCUGAGGCGCGAAAGCCAGGGGAG